CCUACGGGAGGCAGCAGUAAGGAAUAUUGGUCAAUGGACGCAAGUCUGAACCAGCCAUGCCGCGUGAAGGAUGAAGGUCCUCUGGAUUGUAAACUUCUUUUAUCUGGGACGAAAAAAGGGCUUUCUAGCUCGUCUGACGGUACCAGAGGAAUAAGCACCGGCUAACUCCGUGCCAGCAGCCGCGGUAAUACGGAGGGUGCAAGCGUUAUCCGGAUUCACUGGGUUUAAAGGGAGCGUAGGUGGGCAGUUAAGUCAGUGGUGAAAUCUUCGAGCUUAACUCGGAAACUGCCAUUGAUACUAUCUGUCUUGAAUAUUCUGGAGGUAAGCGGAAUAUGUCAUGUAGCGGUGAAAUGCUUAGAUAUGACAUAGAACACCAAUUGCGAAGGCAGCUUACUACGGGAUUAUUGACACUGAGGCUCGAAAGCGUGGGGAUCAAACAGGAUUAGAUACCCUGGUAGUCCACGCCCUAAACGAUGGAUACUCGACAUCAGCGAUACACUGUUGGUGUCUGAGCGAAAGCAUUAAGUAUCCCACCUGGGAAGUACGACCGCAAGGUUGAAACGUUAAAUGAAAUUGACGG
RNAcentral lists this ribosomal RNA (580 nucleotides) under uncultured bacterium. RNAcentral's name for it is "bacterial SSU rRNA". It matches the Rfam family "Bacterial small subunit ribosomal RNA", at positions 338 to 916 of the family's 1533-position model. The record is from RNAcentral.